CAGGUGUGUUUGAGUACAUGUGCAUAUGCAUGUGUACAAACACACACACACACACACACACACACACACACACACACACACACAU
Molecule: microRNA precursor, 85 nt
Filed under: Sorex araneus (European shrew)
Lineage: Eukaryota; Metazoa; Chordata; Mammalia; Eulipotyphla; Soricidae
Description: miRNA (ENSSARG00000016943.1)
Source: RNAcentral